RNAcentral lists this ribosomal RNA (464 nucleotides) under uncultured Actinomycetes bacterium. RNAcentral's name for it is "bacterial SSU rRNA". It matches the Rfam family "Bacterial small subunit ribosomal RNA", at positions 28 to 504 of the family's 1533-position model. The record is from RNAcentral. Lineage: Bacteria; Bacillati; Actinomycetota; Actinomycetes.
GAUGAACGCUGGCGGCGUGCUUAACACAUGCAAGUCGAACGAUGAUGCCCAGCUUGCUGGGUGGAUUAGUGGCGAACGGGUGAGUAACACGUGAGCAACCUGCCCCUGACUCUGGGAUAAGCGCUGGAAACGGCGUCUAAUACUGGAUAUGUCCCAUCACCGCAUGGUGUGUGGGUGGAAAGAUUUUUCGGUUGGGGAUGGGCUCGCGGCCUAUCAGCUUGUUGGUGAGGUAAUGGCUCACCAAGGCGUCGACGGGUAGCCGGCCUGAGAGGGUGACCGGCCACACUGGGACUGAGACACGGCCCAGACUCCUACGGGAGGCAGCAGUGGGGAAUAUUGCACAAUGGGCGCAAGCCUGAUGCAGCAACGCCGCGUGAGGGAUGACGGCCUUCGGGUUGUAAACCUCUUUUAGCAGGGAAGAAGCGAGAGUGACGGUACCUGCAGAAAAAGCACCGGCUAACUAC